GGUUAAGUGACUAAGCGUACACGGUGGAUGCCUUGGCAGUCAGAGGCGAUGAAGGACGUAGUAACUUGCGAUAAGCGUAGAUGAGGCAGUAACAGCCACUUGAGUCUACGAUUUCCGAAUGGGGAAACCCACUGGCAUAAGCCAGUAUCAUUGAGUGAAUACAUAGCUCAAUGAAGCGAACCGGGAGAACUGAAACAUCUAAGUACCCCGAGGAAAAGAAAUCAACCGAGAUUCCGAAAGUAGCGGCGAGCGAAAUUGGAUUAGCCCUUAAGCUUUACAUGUGUUAGACGAACGGUCUGGAAAGUCCGACGAUACAGGGUGAUAGUCCCGUAGUUGUAGAUGCAUGUUCAGUGAAAUCGAGUAGGGCGGGACACGUGUUAUCCUGUCUGAAUAUGGGGGGACCAUCCUCCAAGGCUAAAUACUCCUGACUGACCGAUAGUGAACCAGUACCGUGAGGGAAAGGCGAAAAGAACCCCUGUGAGGGGAGUGAAAUAGAACCUGAAACCGUGUACGUACAAGCAGUAGGAGCACCUUCGUGGUGUGACUGCGUACCUUUUGUAUAAUGGGUCAGCGACUUAUAUUCAGUGGCAAGGUUAACCAUCUAGGGGAGCCGUAGGGAAACCGAGUCUUAACUGGGCGCCAUAGUCUCUGGAUAUAGACCCGAAACCGAGUGAUCUAGCCAUGGGCAGGUUGAAGGUUGAGUAACAUCAACUGGAGGACCGAACCGACUAAUGUUGAAAAAUUAGCGGAUGACUUGUGGCUAGGGGUGAAAGGCCAAUCAAACUCGGAGAUAGCUGGUUCUCCCCGAAAGCUAUUUAGGUAGCGCCUCGGACGAAUACUACUGGGGGUAGAGCACUGUUAAGGCUAGGGGGUCAUCCCGACUUACCAACCCUUUGCAAACUCCGAAUACCAGUAAGUACUAUCCGGGAGACACACGGCGGGUGCUAACGUCCGUCGUGGAGAGGGAAACAACCCAGACCGCCAGCUAAGGUCCCAAAUUACAGCUAAGUGGGAAACGAUGUGGGAAGGCUUAGACAGCUAGGAUGUUGGCUUAGAAGCAGCCAUCAUUUAAAGAAAGCGUAAUAGCUCACUAGUCGAGUCGGCCUGCGCGGAAGAUGUAACGGGGCUAAGUU
This 1133-nucleotide ribosomal RNA is filed under the name Vibrio vulnificus. Its description in RNAcentral is "partial 23S ribosomal RNA". It matches the Rfam family "Bacterial large subunit ribosomal RNA", at positions 1 to 1188 of the family's 2925-position model. Lineage: Bacteria; Pseudomonadati; Pseudomonadota; Gammaproteobacteria; Vibrionales; Vibrionaceae. The record is from RNAcentral.